RNAcentral lists this long non-coding RNA (724 nucleotides) under Chrysemys picta bellii (western painted turtle). RNAcentral describes it as "lncRNA (ENSCPBG00000007231.1)". The record is from RNAcentral. Lineage: Eukaryota; Metazoa; Chordata; Testudines; Emydidae.
AUGACAACUCUGGAGGACCAGAGCUUGCUGAGAGCCGUUCCUGCAAGUGGUUCUGUGACUCGGAAACUGACAACAGCUGCAUGCAAAGGAACAAAGAAUGAGACUGACAAUUUGGAGUGUGAGCAGUUCUGUACUAAUGCUGUGAAAGGCAUUUAUUGCGUGCAACUCAUUGGGAAUGCUUAUUUUGGAAAAGUAAAUCAUCUGAGCAAUUUUCAGGGCUUGCUGCAAACUGUUUUCAACUCUCCUCAUUCAAUCCAGCAGCCAGAGGCCUAUGAAGCUCUGUCAUUUCAUGAGAUUCAGUCACACAUACCUGAAGCCAUAUAUACCUCUCAAACCGGGGCAAUGAUUGGCUGGUGUAAUAUCUCUUGUUCAGUUAUCAACGCUUAUAUGAACUACUAUAUGGAAAUGUUCCCCCAUCAAGGAAACAAAUGAUCUUGAGGGAGCAGCUCUAUACGGCAUCUGUUCCAAUGGAGAACACAGAGUUAACCCCAGUCAAAAGAGACGCUGAGCCCGUCAUCAAGAAGUGGAAAAUGAGCGAUUCUUCUCCCCCAAAAUUGAAACCUAUACCUCCCUAGUUUUACAAGUCAUUUUAUUGAUUUGAGUAUCGACCGUUUCCAAAGAAGUAACUAAUUCUAGGGAAUUACAAUGAUCACGAGCUGUUGUGUAUCCAAAAGAGCAAAAGAGUGCAAAUAAAAUAAAAUUAAAAUUAAAAUAAAUGAAAGUA